GGCGGACGGGUGAGUAAUGUAUGGGGAUCUGCCCGAUAGAGGGGGAUAACUACUGGAAACGGUGGCUAAUACCGCAUAAUCUCUUAGGAGCAAAGCAGGGGACCUUCGGGCCUUGCGCUGUCGGAUGAACCCAUAUGGGAUUAGCUAGUAGGUAAGGUAAUGGCUUACCUAGGCGACGAUCCCUAGCUGGUCUGAGAGGAUGAUCAGCCACACUGGGACUGAGACACGGCCCAGACUCCUACGGGAGGCAGCAGUGGGGAAUAUUGCACAAUGGGCGCAAGCCUGAUGCAGCCAUGCCGCGUGUAUGAAGAAGGCCCUAGGG
This 322-nucleotide ribosomal RNA is filed under the name Escherichia coli. RNAcentral's name for it is "bacterial SSU rRNA". It matches the Rfam family "Bacterial small subunit ribosomal RNA", at positions 97 to 422 of the family's 1533-position model. The record is from RNAcentral. Lineage: Bacteria; Pseudomonadati; Pseudomonadota; Gammaproteobacteria; Enterobacterales; Enterobacteriaceae.